This 303-nucleotide ribosomal RNA is filed under the name uncultured bacterium. RNAcentral's name for it is "partial 16S ribosomal RNA". It matches the Rfam family "Bacterial small subunit ribosomal RNA", at positions 507 to 809 of the family's 1533-position model. The record is from RNAcentral.
AGCAGCAGCCGCGGUAAUACAGAGGGUGCGAGCGUUAAUCGGAUUUACUGGGCGUAAAGCGUGCGUAGGCGGCUUUUUAAGUCGGAUGUGAAAUCCCUGAGCUUAACUUAGGAAUUGCAUUCGAUAAUGGGAAGCUAGAGUAUGGGAGAGGAUGGUAGAAUUCCAGGUGUAGCGGUGAAAUGCGUAGAGAUCUGGAGGAAUACCGAUGGCGAAGGCAGCCAUCUGGCCUAAUACUGACGCUGAGGUACGAAAGCAUGGGGAGCAAACAGGAUUAGAUACCCCGGUAGUCCCUGUCUCUUAUAU